This 429-nucleotide ribosomal RNA is filed under the name Gemmatimonadota bacterium. RNAcentral describes it as "Gemmatimonadetes bacterium partial 16S ribosomal RNA". It matches the Rfam family "Bacterial small subunit ribosomal RNA", at positions 355 to 776 of the family's 1533-position model. Lineage: Bacteria; Pseudomonadati; Gemmatimonadota. The record is from RNAcentral.
UAGGGAAUCUUCGGCAAUGGACGAAAGUCUGACCGAGCAACGCCGCGUGAGUGAAGAAGGUUUUCGGAUCGUAAAACUCUGUUGUUAGAGAAGAACAAGGACGUUAGUAACUGAACGUCCCCUGACGGUAUCUAACCAGAAAGCCACGGCUAACUACGUGCCAGCAGCCGCGGUAAUACGUAGGUGGCAAGCGUUGUCCGGAUUUAUUGGGCGUAAAGCGAGCGCAGGCGGUUUCUUAAGUCUGAUGUGAAAGCCCCCAGCUCAACCGGGGAGGGUCAUUGGAAACUGGGAGACUUGAGUGCAGAAGAGGAGAGUGGAAUUCCAUGUGUAGCGGUGAAAUGCGUAGAUAUAUGGAAGAACACCAGUGGCGAAGGCGGCUCUCUGGUCUGUAACUGACGCUGAGGCUGGAAAGCGUGGGGAGCAAACAGG